AAUACGAAGGGACCUAGCGUAGUUCGGAAUUACUGGGCUUAAAGAGUUCGUAGGUGGUUGAAAAAGUUGGUGGUGAAAUCCCAGAGCUUAACUCUGGAACUGCCAUCAAAACUUUUCAGCUAGAGUAUGAUAGAGGAAAGCAGAAUUUCUAGUGUAGAGGUGAAAUUCGUAGAUAUUAGAAAGAAUACCAAUUGCGAAGGCAGCUUUCUGGAUCAUUACUGACACUGAGGAACGAAAGCAUGGGCAGCGAAGAGGAUUAGAUACCCUCGUAGUCCAUGCCGUAAACGAUGUGUGUUAGACGUUGGAAAUUUAUUUUCAGUGUCGCAGCGAAAGCGAUAAACACACCGCCUGGGGAGUACGACCGCAAGGUUAAAACUCAAAUGAAUUGACGGGGACCCGCACAAGUAGUGGAGCAUGUGGUUUAAUUCGAAGAUACGCGCAGAACCUUACCAACACUUGACAUGUUCGUCGCGACUUUAAGAGAUUAAAGUUUUCGGUUCGGCCGGACGAAACACAGGUGCUGCAUGGCUGUCGUCAGCUCGUGUCGUGAGAUGUUGGGUUAAGUCCCGCAACGAGCGCAACCCUCACUUUUAGUUGCCAUCAUUUAGUUGGGCACUCUGAAAGAACUGCCAGUGAUAAGCUGGAGGAAGGUGGGGAUGACGUCAAGUCCUCAUGGCCCUUACGUGUUGGGCUACACACGUGCUACAAUGGUAUCUACAACAGGAAGCGAAACCGCGAGGUUAAGCAAAUCCUUAAAAGAUACCUCAGUUCGGAUUGCACUCUGCAACUCGAGUGCAUGAAGCUGGAAUUACUAGUAAUCGUGGAUCAGCGUGCCACGGUGAAUGCGUUCCCGGGUCUUGUACACACCGCCCGUCACACCAUGGGAGUUGGUUCUACCUUAAGGCAAGGUUUUAAACCCUUGACCACGGUAUAGUCAGC
Molecule: ribosomal RNA, 939 nt
Filed under: uncultured bacterium
Lineage: Bacteria
Description: bacterial SSU rRNA
Rfam family: Bacterial small subunit ribosomal RNA
Source: RNAcentral